GUCUGAUGGUUCUUUGUCGAAGAU
This 24-nucleotide small RNA is filed under the name Bombyx mori (domestic silkworm). Its description in RNAcentral is "ovarian small RNA-17811". The record is from RNAcentral. Lineage: Eukaryota; Metazoa; Arthropoda; Insecta; Lepidoptera; Bombycidae.